RNAcentral lists this ribosomal RNA (250 nucleotides) under uncultured bacterium. Its description in RNAcentral is "partial 16S ribosomal RNA". It matches the Rfam family "Bacterial small subunit ribosomal RNA", at positions 524 to 775 of the family's 1533-position model. The record is from RNAcentral.
UACGUAGGCAGCGAGCGUUGUUCGGAGUUACUGGCGUAAGCGUGCGCAGGCGGUUUUGUAAGUCUGUCGUGAAAUCCCCGGGCUCAACCUGGGAAUUGCGAUGGAGACUGCAAGGCUAGAAUCUGGCAGAGGGGGUAGAAUUCCACGUGUGAGCAGUGAAAUGCGUAGAGAUGUGGAGGAACACCGAUGGCGAAGGCAGCCCCCUGGGUCAAGAUUGACGCUCAUGCACGAAAGCGUGGGGAGCAACAGG